ACAGAGGCCUCAAGCGUUAGGCGGAAUCACUGGGCUUAAAGCGUGUGUAGGCGGGUCGUUAAGUACCUUGUGAAAUCCCACGGCUCAACCGUGGAACGGCUGGGUAUACUGGCGAUCUUGGGCCAUCUAGGGGCAGCUGGAACAAGCGGUGGAGCGGUGAAAUGCGUAGAUAUCAAGAGGAACACCUGAGGUGAAGACGGGUUGCUGGGCCGCCACUGACGCUGAGUGCGCGAAAGCCAGGGGAGCAAACGGGA
Molecule: ribosomal RNA, 254 nt
Filed under: uncultured prokaryote
Description: partial 16S ribosomal RNA
Rfam family: Bacterial small subunit ribosomal RNA
Source: RNAcentral